ACCGCGCAUGUCCGGCCCGGGAAAGCCCAGACGGGAGGGGAUGGGCCCGCGGCCUGUUAGCUAGUCGGCGGGGUAACGGCCCACCGAGGCGAUUAUGGGUAGCCGGGUUGAGAGACCGACCGGCCAGAUUGGGACUGAGACACGGCCCAGACUCCUACGGGAGGCAGCAGUGGGGAAUCUUGCGCAAUGGGCGGAAGCCUGACGCAGCGACGCCGCGUGCGGGACGAAGGCCUUCGGGUCGUAAACCGCUUUCAGCAGGGACGAGGCCCCCGCGGUGACGGUACCUGCAGAAGAAGCCCCGGCUAACUACGUGCCAGCAGCCGCGGUAAUACGUAGGGGGCGAGCGUUAUCCGGAUUCAUUGGGCGUAAAGCGCGCGUAGGCGGCCUGUUAGGUCGGGGGUCAAAUACCGGGGCUCAACCCCGGUCCGCCCCCGAUACCGGCAGGCUUGAGUCUGGUAGGGGAAGGCGGAAUUCCCAGUGUAGCGGUGGAAUGCGCAGAUAUUGGGAAGAACACCGGCGGCGAAGGCGGCCUUCUGGGCCACGACUGACGCUGAGGCGCGAAAGCUAGGGGAGCGAACAGGAUUAGAUACCCUGGUAGUCCUAGCCGUAAACGAUGGACGCUAGGUGUUGGGGG
This 634-nucleotide ribosomal RNA is filed under the name uncultured bacterium. Its description in RNAcentral is "bacterial SSU rRNA". It matches the Rfam family "Bacterial small subunit ribosomal RNA", at positions 182 to 829 of the family's 1533-position model. The record is from RNAcentral.